This 301-nucleotide ribosomal RNA is filed under the name uncultured bacterium. RNAcentral describes it as "partial 16S ribosomal RNA". It matches the Rfam family "Bacterial small subunit ribosomal RNA", at positions 509 to 809 of the family's 1533-position model. The record is from RNAcentral.
CAGUCGCCGCGGUAAUACGGAGGGUGCAAGCGUUAAUCGGAAUUACUGGGCGUAAAGCGCACGCAGGCGGUCUGACAAGUCAGAUGUGAAAUCCCCGGGCUUAACCUGGGAACUGCAUUUGAAACUGUCAGGCUGGAGUCUUGUAGAGGGGGGUGGAAUUCCAGGUGUAGCGGUGAAAUGCGUAGAGAUCUGGAGGAAUACCGGUGGCGAAGGCGGCCCCCUGGACAAAGACUGACGCUCAGGUGCGAAAGCGUGGGGAGCAAACAGGAUUAGAUACCCCUGUAGUCCCUGUCUCUUAUCC